RNAcentral lists this ribosomal RNA (456 nucleotides) under uncultured Thiobacillus sp. RNAcentral's name for it is "bacterial SSU rRNA". It matches the Rfam family "Bacterial small subunit ribosomal RNA", at positions 920 to 1382 of the family's 1533-position model. The record is from RNAcentral. Lineage: Bacteria; Pseudomonadati; Pseudomonadota; Betaproteobacteria; Nitrosomonadales; Thiobacillaceae.
CCCGCACAAGCGGUGGAUGAUGUGGAUUAAUUCGAUGCAACGCGAAGAACCUUACUACCCUUGACAUGUCCGGAACUUGCCAGAGAUGGCUUGGUGCCCGAAAGGGAAUCGGAACACAGGUGCUGCAUGGCUGUCGUCAGCUCGUGUCGUGAGAUGUUGGGUUAAGUCCCGCAACGAGCGCAACCCUUAUCAUUAGUUGCUACGCAAGGGCACUCUAAUGGGACUGCCGGUGACAAACCGGAGGAAGGUGGGAUGACGUCAAGUCCUCAUGGCCCUUAUGGGUAGGGCUUCACACGUCAUACAAUGGUCGGUACAGAGGGUUGCCAAGCCGCGAGGCGGAGCCAAUCCCACAAAGCCGAUCGUAGUCCGGAUUGUUCUCUGCAACUCGAGAGCAUGAAGUCGGAAUCGCUAGUAAUCGCAGGUCAGCAUACUGCGGUGAAUACGCUCCCGGGUCUU